This 74-nucleotide transfer RNA is filed under the name Marmota monax (woodchuck). RNAcentral describes it as "tRNA.Ala". The record is from RNAcentral. Lineage: Eukaryota; Metazoa; Chordata; Mammalia; Rodentia; Sciuridae.
UUGAGGAUUUAGCUCAGGGGCAGAGUGCUUGCCUAGCAAGUGCAAGGCCCUGAGUUUGAUCCUCAGCCCUGAAA